RNAcentral lists this unclassified non-coding RNA (199 nucleotides) under uncultured Tomentella. Its description in RNAcentral is "sequence contains ITS1". Lineage: Eukaryota; Fungi; Basidiomycota; Agaricomycetes; Thelephorales; Thelephoraceae. The record is from RNAcentral.
CUGAAUUGUCAACACGAGUUGUUGCUGGUCCUCAAAUGGGGGCAUGUGCACGCUCUGUUUACACAUCCACUCACACCUGUGCACCCUCUGUAGUUCUGUGUCUGGGGGGACUCUGUCCUCCUGGUGCGGUUCUAUAUCUUUACACACACUCUGUAUUAAAGUCUUAUGGAAUGCAAACCGCGUUUAACGCAAUACAAUA